GACGAACGCUGGCGGCGUGCUUAAUACAUGCAAGUCAACUUGACUUUAGAUAGCAAUAUCGAAAAGUAGGGUGGCGCACGGGUGCGUAACGCGUAGGUAAUCUGCCCUGAGGUCUGACAUAACCCGUCGAAAGGCGGGCUAACAUCAGAUUAUAUAUGAUCACGACAUCGUGGAAAUAUCAAAUCUUCGGAGCCUUGGGAUGAGCCUGCGUCUGAUUAGGUAGUUGGCGGAGUAAUAGCCCACCAAGCCUACGAUCAGUAGCUGGUCUGAGAGGAUGAUCAGCCACACUGGAACUGAGACACGGUCCAGACUCCUACGGGAGGCAGCAGUAAGGAAUAUUGCUCAAUGGGGGAAACCCUGAAGCAGCAACGCCGCGUGAAGG
Molecule: ribosomal RNA, 382 nt
Filed under: uncultured bacterium
Lineage: Bacteria
Description: bacterial SSU rRNA
Rfam family: Bacterial small subunit ribosomal RNA
Source: RNAcentral